Molecule: long non-coding RNA, 13810 nt
Organism: Ictalurus punctatus (channel catfish)
Lineage: Eukaryota; Metazoa; Chordata; Actinopteri; Siluriformes; Ictaluridae
Source: Ensembl
CUUUUCAGGCUUUUACCUACAGCCUCUUUCAGUUGUUGUUUGUUUUAGGGGGUUCAGGAGGUGAAAUGCUGCUCAGUCGGGUGAUUUACUGGUCUGGUGAUUGACUUGGCCAGUCUAAAAUCUUCCACCCCCCACCCGUCUGAUAAAGUCCUUUGUUGAGUCGGCAGUGUGUUUUGGGUCAUUGUCUUGCUGCAUGAUAAAGGUCCUCCCGAUUAAUUUGGAUGCAUUUCUCUGUAAAUUGGCGGACAUGUUCCUGUAAACUUCUGAAUUCAUUCUGCUGCUACCAUCAUGAGUUACAUCAUCAAUAAAGAUCAGUGAGCCUGUUCCAGAAGCAGCCAUGCAAGCCCAAGCCAUGACACUACCUCCACCAUGUUUCACAGAUGAGCUUGUAUGGUUUGGAUCAUAUGCAGAUUCUUUCGUUCUCCACACUUUGUCCUUUCCAUCACUUUGGUAGAGGUUAAUCUCGUUUCCAGAACUUUUGUGGCUCAUCUUAGUAUUUCUUUGCGACUUCCAAUCAGGCUUUUUGAUUCUUACUGCUGAUGAGUGGUUUGUAUCUUGUGGUAUGUCCUCUAUAGUUCUGCUCUAGUCUUAGGCUAGAGGUGUACAUCGAGACUGGACGCAAACAUAAAUUUGCACAAGCAGGACGUUUUUACUUCAAUGCAGAUACGACCGAGUGCUCAGAUGUGAAGCUUAUGAGACAAACGUUCGUUAACAUUAACAGGAACAUGCAGUGCGAUGCAUUUACUACCGUUCACUUUGCAAAUGUACUUUACUACUCAAUCUGUUCUCCGUGUGUUUGUAUUAGCUAAUUUGUGCAUGUUAUUCUUUCAGAAACACAAGAAAAGCUACAUAUUGUUGGCACAGUAACCGCGACACAGAGAAAUAAAUAUACAGAUGGCACAGAUGACUCACUCCCGCCUGAUAUAAUCAAGUUUGAAAUACAUAAAUACAGGGAAACUCAGACACCUCCAAUUAGUCACAAGUUCUCUAGUUAAACAAGCUCACAACUGGACAACGAUGCACUAAAUUCAAAAACAAAUAAAUGCCUUACCGAUUCAAGAACAUAACUGUCAGCCCAGAAGCUUUAAGCGCUCGCACUCUUUCCGUCCUGAUUGGCUGCAACUCCUGCCAGUUACCGUGUAUUCCGAAUUCUUUUGUGCCUGGAUUUGGGGCGUGAUGAUAUUUGACAUAUCUGAGAUGUUGAGUACAAAUUUCUGGGCAUCUCCAACCUAGAACCCCUGACAAAGACCACUGUCGUUAACGUUAACAUGCAGCACGUGAUGCAUUUACAGCGUGCAUUCGUUCAUCCUUAGUAACUGCCUGGUCAGGGUGGCUGUGGAUUAAACUAGUUACUAAAAUAAUAACUGCGCACAUCUUUGGUUGAGACCUGUUAUGAACUUGAAUGAUGUAGCUGAGCUGGAGGAACUGUCCUAGGUGUCACAAACCAUACUGACAGUGCUAGCAUUUAUCCAGAUCCAGAUACAUGUACUGUCAUUGCAUUACAUCUACAUAUCAGAGAAUCUGAAAAAAAAAAAAAUUCUGUAAUCCUGUAUAAGUGGGUAGCAUACUUAGUAUUUAUAGACUUAAAAAGCAAAAAAACAAAAAACAAACUUGUAAUAGCUAUUAUAUUGUAGUGGGCUGAGUUGAUUGAAAACGUGUGUGUGCAUGGAUCCUUAUGAUCCAGGGUGUGCCGUGUAUUCCCGGGAAGUGUUUAAAGAAAUUGAGUGAGAUUAUAAUAGCUAUAAUAACAUAUUAAGGAUUUUUGAGAAUCCUAUAAUUAUAAUAUUUAUAGGGUUUGGUAUUCUAAUAUCUGUAGUAAUAUACUGAAGAGUUUUUGGUGAGCUUUAAUACUAAUGAUGACAGUGAUAUAGUGAAUAGGUCUUCUGUAGUUACAAGAAGAUAAGCAAAGUUUUUGCAUCUCUAAGGUUAUUAUAAUCCUCAGUAUAAUAGAAACGUUAUGAGACUAGGACAACUUUUCUGUGCACAUCAAUGUGACUGAGUAGCAGGUAAAAGAGCAAAACCCUUGCUUGCUCUGCCGUAAUCCUUCAGCGCACUGCUGUGUUGGCUCGUGUCUCACCUUGCACUGCUGUGUAAGCGCUUUCCCUGAGGCCCUGCACACCUCAGAGGCUGACGGUGUAGAACCAGCCUACAAAUGCGGCUCCACGAUGCGGAUGUGCUCAGUAAGGGGGCGUGGCCGGCAAUAGUCAGCGACGUAUGAGAGCGUGUGCAAUGGCUUUGACGGUGGACAGCGGUAUUAGUAUGGAAGUUCAAGUGUAAAUAGAAUAAAACAUUAUUAUUAUUAUUUUCUUAUAAAACAGCACUUGAUCCAGCAUAUUCUAUUAUUUUGCAUUUUUUUAUAUAUAUAUAUCAUGCUCCAACAGUUAACUUAAUGAAGCUAUGAUGUACUUAAUCAAGGUCGUGAAAUUGCAAACAACUGCCCAUAUUUCUAAUGCAUGAAAUGAAUAAAACAAAACAUCUGGUAAGAACCAGGUGUGAAAGCACCAGCAUGAAGACCGAAAGAGCACCACCGCUGCCCCGAUGAUUCACGCUUUGAUUAUUAACAGAAAGAAGGAGGAUUUAGAUAUUCAUACGUUUAAGUGGGUGCGGUUUAGAGAGAUGUCACUGGUGCAUGAAGCCCGGGUUGUUCAGUGCUAAAAUAUCAUUUUUUCCCUUUUUAUAAUGUCUGUGUAUGGAUGUCAUAAGUGAAUCCCGUGCGACCAAGAAAGCCCAAUCAGAUUCUGAUCUUCUGUGGACCUGAUCUCUUCUGUGUCCAGUCACUGACCGAGUCACUUUAGAGAAAGCCUUAAUUAAAAUGCCUCUUUCCUCUUAGGUAGAUGUGGAAGUAGUGCAUGUGGAAAGAUGGCUAUUAAGUGAAGCUACAAAUGGAUCCGGUACUGUUCCCCAGUUUCUUCUACAUGCCAAAAACAUGCAGGUAGGUGGUUUGGCUAUGUUAAAUUGUCCCUAAGUGUGUGUAUGUGGUGAUCUGCGAUGAACUGGAGCCUUGUACAGGGUUACUGAAGACGAACGAAUGCCUACAGACGAGUUGUUUGUUGUAGAUACGUACAUAGAAGAUAAUUAUCGUUUUGGACAUGACCUCAUAUGGACUCGUGGAGCUAUGUUCAGAGUUGGCGAAGUCCAUACGUCGUGUCAAUAUUUCCACAGGGAGAAUGCACGUAUUCAGAGAUCUGUUAAGCAUGCAUCUAAGCCGAUUUCAGAAAGCGUCUAAACUUUAAACAUGAGCGCUUGUCUUUAAACGCAGAACAAAAGAAAAUCAGGGAUAGUAAAUGCUGAAUGAAGAGAAGAAGCAAGAAGCUUUAUUUUUCUUUUCUGUCAAAUGUAAUGCAGUGUAUUCCUUAGUUUUAUUAUAGAAAAGCGAGAGAUAAUUUCAAAAUGAAAAAUAAAGUAAGACUAAUAUGAUGAUAUAUGAACAAAACAAUGGCACGCGUUAAAAUAAAUAGGAGUCUAGUAUAGAGCUUAUAUAUUGCUGCAUGAAUAGUCCUAGUUGUAAUUGUCACAUUAAUCACGGCAACAUUUGGUUUAAUUUAAUUGAACUAUUGGUGUAAUUUAAAAAAAAAGUAACUUUAACUUUUGAAAUGGCACUUGAUCAAGCACGUUAUUAUUUUGCAUUAUAUAUUUUUUUAUAUCGUGCUUCGACAGUUAACUUAAUGAUGCCGUGUAAAGUAUUGCAUGUAAAUGAAAGAGCUUUAGUCAAACUCUCCCUUGUAUUCAUAACUCUCACACUUCUCACGUCCUUUACUUCUGAACACGGACAUGCAGAGAGUUCCUCAGGGCAGUAAAAAAACAAACAAACAAAAAAAACAAAGGGGGCAUCUAUCGCUAUGGAGUAAUUCCAAUAUAACAAUUACUAAUAAUAAGAUAUAUAAUUUUAUCAUUAUCACCCUGAUGAAAAAAAAAAAAUAGUGGAAAGAUCUUUAAAGUAUCUUAAAAGCAUUUUCAGGUGAAUAUUCAAGCCCGGGACUGUCACUAUACCACUAUACCACUGCUUCUGGAAAGAGCGCCCCCUGUCAUUUUUAGGGAAUUUCAUAUCGGGUCCUUUUUUGAUGGCAACUUAAAGCGCACCUAAUAACGUGCCUAAUUUUGUUUUAAAUUUCUCAUACAAUAGAUUUACAAGCAUCCAAGAUCAAAAAAACACUUUAACAUGCUCAUAAUUUAAAUUGCAGCAUUACAUUUUUUUCCAGUGACAAAAACGACUCGUUCAAUGAUCCGUUCUAAAGGAUUCGUUCUAAACUCUUCCUUUCAGAGAGCAUACCCUGCUCUGAUUGGUCAGAUGUCCCAGUUUAUUGUGAUUGGUCUACUGCUGUCAGCGUGUGCUGAUUGAAAAGGAAACGCCCACUACUAUAGAGUUCCAGCUCCAUCUGACACAAAUGUCUGUUUUACUCUAUCAAUUUGAGCCCGAAUCGGACAACGAUGAUGCAUCGGAAGAUAAACCCGAACCACCAUGGCGACGAGAACGGGACGUUUCUUAGUGGUAAGUUUAUAUGUAAUUUGACGUACAUUGAAGAUGAGAUGCAGAGAUGGAAACUCGAGUCUGCAACUUGGACUCGAGUCGCACUGAAGUCCCCAAAAAAAUGACUAUAUAGUUGAGUAACAAACAAUAACAAUAUAACCAAGUCUUACCUUGUGAUAAUCUUCAUGUCAUUUAAUUAGAAAAACAAUCAGUUAAUCUAAAAGGAAGCUGCGGCGUUACGCAGCUGGCAGGGGCUUGCUUGCCGUCCAUUUUCAAGCAAUACAAAAGUUUCCAUGUCUUUUAAAUGUAAUCUACCAUUUGCAUAUAAUAUCCAAGUUUACGAAAGUUAAAUACACUCUAUGCGCGAUCGCUUCCACGUUUCGUCUCAGCCAACUCGGUUCCAUCCGGUGCUGCGCCGGAAGCCGUUUUCCUUAUCGAAAGGGGGGUUUUGUUACCAUUGGCACUCACUGAAGAUUACCUUACCCAUCAUUGCUUGAGAACUGCAGCAAACUACGGCAACUCAAUUAGCUCAAAAUUCAUAGAACUUUGGCAUUUUGCACUAAAUGACCAAAAAAGUCAUAUCUUUCCUGAAGUUUCUAUGAAUGUUCUGUUUUCUCGUAAUUAUCGGGAGAGCGUUUGGAUCAAAUGUAAUUUAGUCUGAAAGUACAGAUUUCAUUUUGAAUGAAAUGAACGAUUUAAGUAAAACCUUGUUUGCUUUAUUGGACCAUUUUGAAUCCUCGAACAAGACAUUCUGCGGAAGUGAUAUCAGUUUGAAUAUUUCAAAACUGAUUUACGCUUAAUUGCAAUAACUUGCUGAAGGAACUACUGCUAAAAAUAGAACGAAGACUUGGGACUUGACUUGUGAGCACGUCUGAUGAGACGUUAUCAGUGUGCGAUUCCUCUACGUCGGCUGUGACGAGUGUAUAACAAACCGAUGUGGAUAUUUCUAGUUCAAUGAGGUGCACAUGUGGGAACUGUACCAGAAUGCCAAGCGAAGCUGAAAUCCUCUGCUGCCAUGAAGUAGGACAGAUAGUAUAAUAAGUUAUUAAUAAUUAAAACAUUAUAUUGCAACCUAAGUGCAAUCGGUGACACUAGCACAUACCGGAUUUUCCUUCCGAGGUUCUAAGACGAAUGAAAGAGAUUCCGGUACCGCCAACAUGCAUGAUGCACCAUUCCGGCUUCGAACCCAAUUGUCUUAAUCCAUACACACUUCGAAACAUACACAGCAUCUAUAGAACUGACUAUGGCCCUUUUGAGGCACAGAAUCAUCGAGGAGUAAUUGUUUUUUACUUGAUAAAAACUUAAAAUUAGCAAAUUAAUAUAGCUAUAACGAAGCUACAUUUUACAGAAUGACAUCAUAAAGACAUUCCAAAAAAAAUAAUUUUGUACGACAGGAAAAUUUAUUUCUAAACAUGGAAAAUCCUAAAAUGAAUUUGUAGACAAUACGGUCAUCUUGGUUAUGACAGCUUUGUGAGCUGGUGCUGGGGCUACGGCGUAUCCCCUCGUGUGUUGUACACGACGGGAUACGCGUCUCCCGGGAUACGUAGUUUCCGGAUCAGUCUGGUGGCCGUGUCGGCUUUCUACCACCCCUUGAUUGAAUCGGAAGACACGGCGAGCAAUUGUUUCCUCCUUUGUGGGUCUCUCCAACUCCGAACAAAGGGGUGUGGGAUUGGGGAUUGUCAGUACCUGUUCAAUAAAUGGAUCGGGGUCCACAAACACCUCCUCGAAGACCAGCCUCAGGAGGAUCCACAUAGUCUGCCAAAGAAAAAAUAUCACAGUAACAAUCACUUGAUUGUGUAUAUACAGGUGCAAUCAAAAUGAUUCAACCCCCAUUGCAAAUCAGAUUGAUUUUCAGCUGUUUGCGAUGAACAAAUCAAACACAAGCAAUUGAAGUAGUUCAACACGACGAAUGCUUCAAGUGGUUUCCACAAAAUUCAACUGAAAAUGCAACUUGUAAUGAUUUCUCCAGUCUCAAAAUGAUUCACCCCCCUGAAUAGAAUCCCUCACAACAGCACAAACAUUCAAAACCGGUGUCGUCUCAAACAAAUCUUAUCCUGCCGAGGUUUCGGCUUGUUCUCGAUUAGCAUUCUCAUUGUAAUGCAUUGCUACAAGGUACAGCCUGCAAGAACGAGUAACCCCAAACAGUUUUAUACAUGACGUUUCAGUGUGUGCCGUAUCAGCCACUAAAUCAUAACCUCCUUAUAAAAAAUGAUUCAGUGACAUUUUAUAAGUUAUAGUACCUGCACAACAUUCGCAUAAAAGGGAACACAUUUAUUUUUUUUGGUGUGAAACGCAGAAUCAAGCUGUGGAAGGCCUCCGGCGAUGAGGUUUAAAAGUGGUGACUUGGCUUCUCUACAUCUUUGAGAACUCUCGUUGCAGAGGAUUUUUUUUCCCAACUUUGUGACGUUCCAGCGACCCUACGUUGUCAAAAAAUAGUAAGCUUGUACAAUAAUUGCAAUUCAAGACUGUCCAUUCACAAAUAUAUUCAGUAAUGGAUAUUUUUAAGGUAUAGUGAGGUAUAUUAGUUUUAUUAUAAGAUAUUAAUCAUUUCUAUAACUACCGCUUUGAAACCUUUUUCCGGAUCCCUUGAAACUCUAUCAGGAUGUUCACACUCGAGCCCAAGGAGAAAUCUUGUAUUGUAUGAAACAACUGCUAUUUCAGAUAUAGAAGAAGUCUGUCCUUUUAGAAAGCAUAAAAUAAACAUCUCAGCCAAAUAGUCUGUACUCUCCAAAGUUGCGUGCAUUAUUUAUCACUGAAAGCACUUCACUGUCACUUCAUCGUGUUAGGCGGAUCACACUGAUAAAUAUUCAUAUUGCAUAAAUCAUGCCAUACUUCAUGUAAUAGAUUUCCUCCGUUUUCUUAAGGAAUCCGAAAGCUUUUGUAAUCACUGACUACGUUUACAUGAACAGCGAUAAUCUAAUUAUUGACCUUAUUCUCAAUAAGACAAUAUUGUGAUUGAGGUGUUUACAUGAGUCGCUUUUAGAAUACUCCUUUCAUGUUCCCGUUUUACACGUUAUAGAACAUAGAGCGAUUAACGGCACACGUCAUUACGUCACCGCGCCACGCCGUCCGACGUUCCCUCCAGAAUUUCACCUGUCGACAUACAGUUCGUCUUCGUUAUGGUCCCGUAUACAGUUUUGUGUGGUUUUAUUUUGAAUUUUUACGGAUACUUCAAGUGCGGUUAAUUAUUCGUCAUGCUGUACGUGCUAAUAGACGACUGCUUGAAGCCGUGGGCUGCGUCCCAAACCUACUAUAUAGUAGACGAGAUACAUGUAUUUCACCAACUAUAUACUGUAGUAGGUAAGUACUCGGACGCAGCCGUGCUCUCUCGUUUGCCGUUAAACGGUUGAGCGCUGCCGUGUGUGUACGUGUCCUGUCACAGAAUGCGGUGAAAACUCCCACACGACGUUAAUAGUGUGAUUAAGGAGUGUACGUGUCUGUAAUACACGUCGAUAAUGCGACUAAAACAGGAGUACUCCACACGUCUUAAUUCCAUUUGUGUUUACUUCGAGUACGACUUUAGUCAGAUUAAGGUUAUAAAAAAUAGCUGUUUACAUGCUAGUUUCUUAAUCAGAGUAUCGUCUUAAUCGGGUUAAUAUCGGAUUAUUGUUGUCCAUGUAAACAUACUGACUGACUGACAGUCACACUGAAACAAUUACCUGGAAAUAAUGAUGGUAUGAAUGGUAUAAUAAAUACUUAUAAAUAGAUAUUUAUCCAUUUUAAGUCCGAAAUUGGUGAAAUCCGGUCAUUUAUGAGAAACUGUGUGUAUAACUACGUGCAUAAGUAUGUCAUACUGUACUGUAUAAUAACUUUGUUAUAGCGCAGUGGAAUUCUUGAAUCUGAUUGGUCAGAAGGUGUUGAUGAAUUUUCCAUUAAUCGCAGGUUUAUUUUAACGCGCUCAUCAUAAUAUCUUAUCGUUUCUAGAGUAACAACUCAAUCUAAGAGGGAUUAAAACAUGCUGUUAUUCAACAAGGAAAACUGUGUCAUCACUGACACGCUACUGACUAUUUUCUAAUAACAACAUGCCUCAUAAGAGUUUUAUUCCAUACUUAAUAUAUCGGAUAAAGAAUCUUCUGCUUAAUUUUGUAACUCCAUGUUGCGCUUGAUUGAGACUAUUCAUCUCCGAGAGCCCUCGAUGAGCCAAAACACAACCGGUGCAGGAUUGUGAAACAUCCCUUUAGUUGAUUAAGCUUCCUAUCUUUCUGAACUCUGUAACCUUCUGUUCCUUCACUUCCAACUUUGCUAGCUUGCCUUUUGGUCUUUCGGUCUUUUCUAAAGCUCUCCUGCUAAAAACAGCGACGCAUCCGUGGAUGUUAACUCUGUAGCUUCUGGCAGUUCCAUGGACAAACCUGUCUGUGCUUAUUAGCAUCAGCAUUUUUUUUUCAUCCCCAGCAGCCUUAACUAGUGAAGUCGAAAUGCACAGUUUGUUUGAGAGCAGCAUUUUUUACAGGACAGUAAACAUGACUUGAGCGUUGCGUCAGGAUUAGAGAGGGAUUUGCACGCUAAGCUCCAGCCACCCAAGCCUCUGAUGCCCUAGGUCACUGCAUCCUAAUUGCCUCCUACAUAUAUAAUAGGCCUGUAUGAAAAUGGGCAUUUGGUUGGAGCAGGCAAGCGUGUAUGCCGAUUUCAUGAGCGCUUUCCUGCCUCAGUACGUGCACGAUCAGGAUGAACCUGAACUUCUUUGUCUUAUGCUGGGAGUCAUGCUAUGAGGGUUGUAGUUUGGUCUUCCAAAGUCUUCCGUGGUUAGCAGUCUCAAAUUCAUGGAAGAAUGGAGAAGCACCGAAAGAAGAAGACAAGACAGAGUUUUGAGAAACUAGUACUAAUUUUAAAUGGGAUAAUUGUUUUCCAUGUAUUAGUAUUCUAGGCUGAAGGUUUCCUUUCCGUAUUCUGAUAUUCAUAAUAUCCACUGGGUAAAUACACGUUUCUGUGUAUGUUAGUCUUACCGAUAUGAACCUGGUUUCUGCUCGACUGACAACAGAGCCCCAGAUGAGAUUAAGCCUCUUGGAACAAAGUUGUGUUGGAGAAUGCUAACCUCGAGAAGCAUUUGUCUCUGUCAGCAAAAUAUUAUUUGGUGGAAUGAGUCAGCAGAAUGAAUUCUUGCCCUUGUCUCUUCGUAUUGCAGUCGAGCCGACAGUGUCCAGAGUUGCUCAAAGCUGUAGGCUCUUUACUGCCAUUUUGCUGACUCCAUCUCCUCUGACUCUCUAGUUUGGACAGCACUUCUGCCUGCCUAAUGAUCAGCUUAGGAACACUUAAUUUACUGAAUUUUUUAUCAGGAUUUUCCAUGCGGACAAUUUGGGAAAGAAGUCUUCUAAUCCGUGUUGGCCAAUAGCCAAUUCCUCCAAAAAGUGAAAUAAUGGCAAAAAAAAAAUUCAAAUUUGUUUGGUAAAGUAAAACAUUCGAAAUCCUCUUUAGAUAAUUUAGACCCGCGAAAGUAAAGAACAAAUCAAAGCAAGCUAACAUGGAGCCUCGUUUGUCAAUCUUGUAGUAAAGUUGUGUGUAAAUAUUUUCUUAGGCCAAAUUUAAUUAAAAGAUUCCCACCACGUUUACAAAAGUUUUAGUAAUGCUGAUUUUCUUCAUGCUGACGUGUGUUUUGAUCAAUUAACCAUAAUGUACCUAGCAUAUUCUAUCUACUAUCCAUCCAUCCAUCCAUCUUUCCAUAAACUCAUAUGCUUGAUGAAUGAGGCCCACAUGAUGAAUGCACAUACCAAUAAGCUUGGGAAGAGGGGUUAUGUAUGUCUAUUCCCAGCAAUAGUACUAUUCGCGUAACUGGUAGUAAUUCAACUAAAAAUCACGGUUGGUCAAAUGAAUUUUUAUGAUUGAUUUGCUGUAAAAUGAUAACAUAUCAUUUGCGUGAAUGCGACAUUGCUGAGUCGCAAACAACCUGAGAAGAGCAGCGCUUGAUAAUAUUUUAUCCACGAUCAAUCUAACGGCCUCUGCAACCUCUCAUGCUUAAACUGCUGUGGCAUUGAUAUGCUUCCUGGUGGAAAUCCCACUCCUCUAUGUCUUAAGAAGUGCAUUUAAUAAUUAAUCGCAACAAGCGUGUCUGCGCAGGAGUAGCAAUGUUUUGUAAUGAAUAUCUGGAUCAGCUCUUACUGACUCCACUUCCACUGUUUUGGCUCUCGUAUGACAUGGUGACCCUUAGGUUCUGUUUACUAGCAGUCGUAACUUUUAGUCCUCGUUUAUUAAAGCAUCUGUGAUACCCCCCCCAAGUUUGGUCAUCUGUCGAUUCCCAUCUGCCAAUUCUAGCACAUGAUUACUCUGAGACAUGUGAAGCCAGCCAACUAAAGCUUUUCGAAGCUUCUGCCCAUGCUGCAUCAGUGGGCAGCAUUAAAAAAAAAAAAAAAUCACUAUCAGCCCUCUUCCGGUGCAGUGGUGGCUUGGCGGUUAAGGCUCCGGGUUACUGAUCGGAAGGUCGGGGGUUCAAGCCCCAGCACUGCCAAGUUGCCACUGUUGCGCCCUUUAGCAAGGCCCUUAACCCUCUGUGCUCCAGUGGCGCUGUAUCAUGGCUGACCCUGUGCUCUGACCCCAGCUUCCUAACAUGCUGGGGUAUGCGAAGAAAAGUUCACUGUGCUUUAAUGUAUAAAUGUAUAAAGACUCAUUGUCAUUAUCAUUCCACAUCCAUGAGCUCUUGAUUGGCUAGUGUCACUGUGAUUGACAGGGGAAAGAUAGUAUGUGAUCCCUCCCACCCAGGGAGCUCCCAGCCGUAGCAUCGCCUGGAUUCGUAUUCGCAAUCUCCUCAAGUCAAGUAGAUCUUUAUCGUCAUCAAAAUAUAGUCAUAUGCAUAUAGUGUGUAGUACACAGCGAGAUGAAAUAACAUUGUCCCUGGACACAAGGUGCAAGGUACAUGUAUGACCUACACAGUGCUGACAGCACAUAAAUAAAGUGCAACAGGAAUAGGAAGCAUGCAGAGAGGUGAUAUGGGUAACAGUGGGGGUGCAUACAAGGAUGGGCAGUAAAACAUACAUACUCCAAUCACAAAAAAAAUACAAAUUUAACAUGUUCAUAAGACAUUACAGUAAACUGGGUCCAAAGCUGCAAGUAGAACGACUUUAGGAAAAGUGUCAAUGCAGUAAUGCUUGUAAAAGAAACCCGAGAUGAAUGAUAAAGUGACAGUGUACUGUAAUGAGUCAGUACAAUCAAGUGUCUGUGUGCUGUAAACGUUAUGCCAGUGCAGUAAAUGAACAAUGUGUCCUGUGCAUCAUUAUUGAUUUAAAGUGUCUAUGCAGUGUUCAGGAGUAUGACAGCCUAGGGGUAGAAGCUGUUACCCAGUCUUGCAGUCCUUGAGUGGAUGCUGCAGUGCCUUCUUCCAGAUAGCAGAGGGGCAAAUAGAUUGUAGGAGGGGUGGGAGGGAUCAUCACAAUGCUGGAGGCCUUGCAGAUGCUACAUGGGUGGAAAUGUUCUGAACAAGAGGUAGAAGAGCACCAACGAUGGGUUCAGUUGUCCGGACUAUCCUCUUUUGGGUGUUGCGAUCCGAGAUGUUGCAAUACACAAACCAGACAGUGAUGCAGCUGGUCAGGACACAUCUAUGGUUCCACUGUAGAAUGUGGUGAGGAUGGGUGGAGGGUGUUGCUGGGCUCUCUUGGCCAAAGAGCUAGUGUUGGUCGUCUGGGUGAGGUCUUCCAUGAUGUGAACGCCGAGGAACUUGGUGCUCAUCACUCGCGCCACUGUGAAGCCGUUUAUGAAUGGUCGGAGAGAUCAGUGUGGAAUUUCCUGAAGUCAACAAUCCUCUGCUUUUGUUUUGUGAACAUUCAGAUUUGGUUCUGAAUGGUUGGUUGUUCUUUGGUUCUGGUGGUUGUUCUUGCCCCAGCCCAUGAGCCAUUCCACCUCCUCUCUGUACGAUGUCUCGCCACUGUCACUGAUGGUGUCAUCAGCGAACGUGACGAAGUGGUUUGAACUGGAUCUGGCAGUGCAUCGUGGGUUAGCAGCGUGAACAGCAGUGGGCUGAGGAAGCAGCCACUCCUGAUGAUGGUGCGAAUGCAUUUUUGUUGCAUCACUCAGGAACCUUGUCCAUUUUAAUACAAAUGCAUGUGAUUGGCCGCAACAGAAGCUGUGCUGGUCCUUGUUUUAAGAAACCAAGGAUUUUUUACGUUUAUCAGCUCUGCUAAAGUAUUGUUUUUGGGUUUUUUUUCUCGGUUUGGCUGAAAUACUUUGCAAAUUGACAACUAAUGAUGAUGACUCAUUGGUUAAGGCUCUGGUUUUAUGGAUCGGAAAUCCAGUCCCAAUACUGCCAAGACUUCACGUGCUCAGCUCAGUUUCACUUUGGAUAAACGUGUCUGCCUAACGAGUAAAUGCAGAUGUUGGAAUCCCAAGUGACAGCGACAUCCACAGAAAGAAAUGCAAGAAGGUGUUCUAUUGACUGAAAGAGGAAAUGGAGUGACCGUGGAAGAUUAAAACCAAGGUUGGUGACCUUGCUCAUAUAAUGGCAGACACAUGGGCGGUUCAGGCUCUGGGUUACUGAUCAGAAGGUUGGCGGUUCAAGCCCCAGUGCCACCAAGCUGCCACUGUUGGGCCCUUGAGCAAGGCCUUUAAUCUUCUCUUCUCCAGGGGCACUGUAUCAUGGCUGACCCUGUGCUCUGACCCCAGCUUGUUAGGAAGUGGAUAUGCGAAGAAAAUAAUUUCCCUGUGCUAUAAUAUGUAUGUGACAGGAAUUCUUCUUGUUCUUCUUCUUUCUUGUUCUUCUUCCUUCUUGUUCUUCCUUCUUCUUCUUGAUUCAUUGAACAUUUUCUUAGGAUUUCUAAGGGAGACUUCCAUUUAAUGUCUGAAUAAAACCUUUAACCCAUAGUACAUAUUGGUACAUUGCUGGUAUAUCGAUCAUUUUAGCGACCGCUCUGUUUCCCAUCAUGGAUUUUGGUGUUAAAAUGACGUUAUAUCAUAUGUGUAUUGUUAAAAUAUUGCAAAAAUCUGUUUAAUUAAAAUGUAAAAACUAUGGAAAUGUUACAGACUAUUUUAGUCUGUUUCACAAAUAAUGAGAUGAAGAGAUUUCUUUUCUUCUUCUUCUGCUUAUUAUUAUCAUUAUUAUCGUAAUAUUAUGACUUUAUGAAAAAGAUCUGCAUAGCAUGCUAUUUGAUUUCUCAAAAUAUUAUACGUAUAAUUUUUGUAACAUUAUGUUCUUUUAAUUUUUUUAAAUUGCAUUCAAAAGCUAUAAUUCCCAAUGAUGACUGGAGGAAGGAAAUUGAGAGAAAAAGGAAAAAAUUAAAGGAUAAUGUCAUUUGUUAGCUUUAGAAUUGGUAUUAAAUGAACAUAUAUUUUUAAAUAUUAUAUAUUUGCAUAAAUGUUGUUGUUGUUGUUAUUAUUAUUAUUAUUAUUAUUAUUAUUAUUAUUAUAUUAUUACUUAUUGCUUAU